Molecule: ribosomal RNA, 497 nt
Filed under: uncultured bacterium
Lineage: Bacteria
Description: partial 16S ribosomal RNA
Rfam family: Bacterial small subunit ribosomal RNA
Source: RNAcentral
GAUGAACGCUGGCGGCGUGCCUAAUACAUGCAAGUCGAGCGAACAGACGAGGCGCUUGCUCCUCUGACGUUAGCGGCGGACGGGUGAGUAACACGUGGAUAACCUACCUAUAAGACUGGGAUAACUUCGGGAAACCGGAGCUAAUACCGGAUAAUAUAUUGAACCGCAUGGUUCAAUAGUGAAAGACGGUUUUGCUGUCACUUAUAGAUGGAUCCGCGCCGCAUUAGCUAGUUGGUAAGGUAACGGCUUACCAAGGCAACGAUGCGUAGCCGACCUGAGAGGGUGAUCGGCCACACUGGAACGGGGACACGGUCCAGACUCCUACGGGAGGCAGCAGUAGGGAAUCUUACGCAAUGGGCGAAAGCCUGACGGAGCAACGCCGCGUGAGUGAUGAAGGUCUUCGGAUCGUAAAACUCUGUUAUUAGGUAAGAACAAAUGUGUAAGUAACUAUGCACGUCUUGACGGUACCUAAUCAGAAAGCCACGGCUAACUACGUG